CUAUCCUCUUUGCUAGACUUAUGGUAAGCACCAUUAGGGUAUUUGCAGAGCUAGCAGUGGUAUUUGUUUUGGAUGUGGCAAACCAGGCCAUAGAGUCAGAGACUGUCCUCAGCUAGGUCCUUAGGGUCUGUAGAACCAUUACUCAGCUCAGUCCGGUCGCCUAAAUAAGCAGGUUUCCACUUCCAGUGCUACUAGUGGGCAACACCUUAACAGACUUUAUACUCUCCAGUCCCG
This 234-nucleotide long non-coding RNA is filed under the name Capsicum annuum. Its description in RNAcentral is "long non-coding RNA (CANN_LNC014364)". The record is from RNAcentral. Lineage: Eukaryota; Viridiplantae; Streptophyta; Magnoliopsida; Solanales; Solanaceae.